This 3216-nucleotide long non-coding RNA is filed under the name Podarcis lilfordi (Lilford's wall lizard). The record is from RNAcentral. Lineage: Eukaryota; Metazoa; Chordata; Lepidosauria; Squamata; Lacertidae.
CAGUGAUUGAACCCGAGACCUGCCUACAAAGCCUGUGCUCUGUCAUUCUGCUACAGUCCCACCUCUGGCUGCUGAGUGGCAGAUAGAAUGGUAUUUCACAGGUUUUGCUAUGCACAUUCCAUGAUAAAGUAUCAGUGAAGGAGUAAACAUAAACCACUUGUUGAGCACAGCCAAGCUCAUGUGAAUCUUUUGUAUCUUGUGACCAACCCUAUCAUAGCUAUGUGUAAUGUCUAUAAACAGCUGCAUACACGGUGACAGAAGCACCCUCAUUUCACAGACCAAUAGAUACCUUACAGUGCUGCAAGAGGCAGGGCUUGUGAAAAGCCCAAUUAGACAUCAUUUUGCGCCAAAUUAAGUCAUCCCACUUUGGCUUGGUAACAGACACUAGCAUCUAAAGCGGAAAUUCUCUGAGAGCUAUAUAGUGUUUUAUCUGACAACUCCCGGUAUGAACCUGACCCUUUCUCUCCAGUUGUCAGCCUCCAGUUCUCCCUGCACAGGGCUGGAUUUAGGUUUGAUGAGGCCCUAAGCUACUGAAGGUAAUGGGGCCCUUUAUAUGUCCAGCUGUUCUUCAUCAACAACAAAUUGUUGCUGUUUUUUGUGUUGAAUAUAUGCUAUAUGGUAAUUUAUGGACCUAAUAGGUAUCUAAAGCCAUUUGCACAUGCAAAAUGUAGGCACCCUAUAUAUAGAAAUGAGCAAACCAGUGAUAUUUGAGGGAGCAGGCUAGCAGGCGGGGCCCAUUACUUACAUCAUAGGAGCCCACACAACACAAAACACUGUUGCUGUAUGUAGGUUUUAUUUUAUUUGUUUUUUAUCUAAUAUUUUGGAAAUCUACAUCCAGUUUUUCCCCCCUUUAAAUUUUUUUGGGGCCCUAAGCUAUGGCUUGUUUAGCUUAUACGGAAAUCCGGCACUGUCCCUGCACAACGCUUGCUGCCUGCCAGGGCAAUGCUCAUCCAGCAACAACAGUAGCAGUCACCACCACUGCUGUUGUGGGUAACUUUCUGCCCUUCUCCUCACAAGCUCCUUCGCUGCUCCUUCAGAAGAAGAUGGCAGCUGGGGGCAGGUCUGAAAUUCACAGUCCCAGAACAGGGGGAUAAAGAAAAAGAAGAAAAAGGGAGCAGCUGAACAGCAGCAACUGUACAGGUUAAAAUGGCCAGGGUUGUAAGUUGCACAGGGAUCCUACACCAUGGGUAGGCAAAUUAAGGCCUGGGGGCCGGAUCCGGCCCAAUCACCUUCUAAAUCCGGCCUGCAGAUGGUCCGGAAAUCGACGUGUUUUUACAUGAGUAGAAUGUGUCCUUUUAUUUAAAAUGCAUCACUGGGUUAUUUGUGGGGCAUAGGAAUUCGUUCAUAUUUUUUAAAAAAAUAUAGUCGGCCUCCCACAAGGUCUGAGGGACAGUGGACUGGCCCCCUGCUGAAAAAGUUUGCUGACCCCUGUCCUACACCGUAGCAGAGGCUCCCCACUUCAGACUCCGCUACCAACGUGUGGAAGGCGACGGCCAGGUGAUGUGACAGAGGGGGCAAGGGCAAAAAGUGCAGCCCCCUUCUCCCUCCCAGAAAGAGUGAAUGCCCAAUAGUUUGCAGUUGCAUUGAAUCACCUUAUUCAUAAACUGUUCCCAAGAGAAAGCAAAGGCGCUUAGCAUUUAUGCUGCAGUUGGGCUGCACAGCAGAGGGUAAGUUAUAUUGGAAGUACAUUUCCCUGACAUUAUGGGACUUGCUUUCAAGUACCAUGUUUGGAGUUGAGAUGACAAACUGGCCGUGCCUGGAAAGAAUUAAAAGCCAUAAUCGAAUUGAGGGGCAGCCUUUAUUUUUACACAUAAAUCAUUAGCACUAUGCUAGCAGCACACCCGCGGAGAGUUUAUAAGGCUGCACUGGGAGAAAAAUAACAUAAUGUGCCUUAUUUUAAAGUCAGUUUGAAGGUUAUUUAAAAGAAUCAAAGGGAAAAGAUAUGGAUUCAGCUCCCAUGAGAUAGUAAAAGAAAAAUUGCACUGUGACAACAGAGUGAGAUGUUAGCUCGCAUGCACUCUGCAAGGGAGAGAUAUUGGGCAAUGGGGGGGGGAGUAGCAAAUCAUAGGAUAAUGCAAACAAAAGAUAUUGAAUGAAGGGCUUAGGGAAAAAUUAAGUAGAAAGAAAAUCUUAUGGACUCCUGCCUGUGGGGGGGGGGUGUAUGUACUCUGCAACAUGUAAUUGAUGCAUUAAUAGUUCAUUGGUGGCGGAUUUAUGCUGGACUGGCUGUUUACACAUCAUUCUGCUUUAUUAGUUCUGUGAUGCUUCCUCAACGCUACCAUAUUGUUGCCAUCUGGAGGAGCACUCUUGCACUAUAGCUCAACAGAAGUGGGACAAAGAAUAAACUGGGACAUUUGUGAUAUAAAAAGUUACAGGAUUUCAGCGGGAAGUUACAGGACAUGCAGACUGGAAACAAAGCAGUAUAACUGCCCCAAAACUUUUGCAUGCAAAAACUUUAUUAAAAUUAAGUAAAGGUAAAGGGACCCCGACCGUUAAAUCCAGUCGCGGACGACUCUGGGAUUGCAGCACUCAUCUCACUUUACUGGCCGAGGGAGCCGGCGUACAGCUCCCGGGUUAUGUGGCCAGCAUGACUAAACUGCUUCUGGCGAACCAGAGCAGUGCACAGAAUUGCCGUUUACCUUCCCACCGCAGCGGUACCUAUUUAUCUACUUGCACUUUGACGUGCUUUUGAACUGCAAGUUGGCAGGAGCAGGGACCGAGCAACAGGAGCUCACCCCAUCGCGGGGAUUCAAACCUCCGACCUUCUGAUCGGCAAGCCCAAGGCUCAGUGGUUUAGACCACAGCGCCACCCACGUUAUUAAAAGUAGGAUUACGUUUAACUGCCCCAAAAGAUGCAGCCAUUGUUCCUCUGUAUGUCAUAAAGCCUGCAUGCACACAUUGAUCAUUUAUUUAUUGCAUUUAUACUGUACCUCCCCCCCCCCAGAGCUUUGGGUGGUGUAGGUGGUUCUCCCUCUCCUCAUGUAAUCCCCAUCACAUCUCUGUGAAGUAGAUUUAGGCUGAGAGACCGUGACUGGUACACGGUCACACAAUGAGCUUCAUGACUAAGUGGGGAUUUGAACUAGAGUGUGUCAUAGUCCAACACUCUAAACACUACACUGUUAGAUAAGUAUCAAUAAAAGCUAUGGCUGUUUCAGGCUUUGUGGUGUUUACCAGACCCCUCACCCCUGGUGUUACGUCCAAAGUCUUCAUGAUGGG